Molecule: ribosomal RNA, 468 nt
Filed under: uncultured bacterium
Lineage: Bacteria
Description: partial 16S ribosomal RNA
Rfam family: Bacterial small subunit ribosomal RNA
Source: RNAcentral
GACGAACGCUGGCGGCGUGCUUAACACAUGCAAGUCGAACGGAAAGGCCCUGCUUUUGUGGGGUGCUCGAGUGGCGAACGGGUGAGUAACACGUGAGUAACCUGCCCUUGACUUUGGGAUAACUUCAGGGAACUGGGGCUAAUACCGGAUAGGAUCUCCUGCUGCAUGGUGGGGGUUGGAAAGUUUCGGCGGUUGGGGAUGGACUCGCGGCUUAUCAGCUUGUUGGUGGGGUAGUGGCUUACCAAGGCUUUGACGGGUAGCCGGCCUGAGAGGGUGACCGGCCACAUGGGGACUGAGAUACGGCGCAGAGUCCUACGGGAGGCAGCAGUGGGGAAUAUUGCACAAUGGGCGGAAGCCUGAUGCAGCAACGCCGCGUGCGGGAUGACGGCCUUCGGGUUGUAAACCGCUUUCGCCUGUGACGAGGCGUGAGUGACGGUAAUGGGUAAAGAAGCACCGGCUAACUACGUG